RNAcentral lists this ribosomal RNA (378 nucleotides) under uncultured bacterium. RNAcentral's name for it is "partial 16S ribosomal RNA". The record is from RNAcentral.
UACGUAAAAGACUAGUGUUAGUCAUCUUUAUUAGGUUUAAAGGGUACCUAGACGGUAAAUUAAACCCCUAAAGGGUACUUUUUUUACUAGAGUUUUAUAAGAGAAAGGGAGGAUUUUUAGAAGUAGAGUAUAAAAAUUUCUUUGAUACUAAAAAAGGACUGGUAAGGGGCGAAAGGCUGCUUUUCUAUGUAAAAAACUGACGUUGAGGGACGAAGGCUUGGGGUAGCAAGUAAAGGGAUUAGAUACCCCGGGGUAAGUCCAGAUCCCAAAGGUCUCGUUGGCCAUACCCGUAAAUUCACCCCGAACCUGGACCCCGAAAUAGGCAGGGAAGGGCUGGAAGCAACCUGGCCCAAAGGGCUACAACCAAGGGGGAUAACG